This 253-nucleotide ribosomal RNA is filed under the name uncultured bacterium. Its description in RNAcentral is "partial 16S ribosomal RNA". It matches the Rfam family "Bacterial small subunit ribosomal RNA", at positions 524 to 776 of the family's 1533-position model. The record is from RNAcentral.
UACAGAGGGUGCGAGCGUUAAUCGGAAUUACUGGGCGUAAAGCGUGCGUAGACGGUAGCGUAAGUCAGAUGUGAAAGCCCCGGGCUCGACCUGGGAACUGCAUUUGAGACUGCUCUGCUCGGGUGCGGAAGAGGGAAGCGGAAUUUCCGGUGUAGCGGUGAAAUGCGUAGAUAUUCGCAAGAACACCAGUGGCGAAGGCGGCUCACUGGCCCGGAACUGACGCUGAGGCGCGAAAGCGUGGGGAGCAAACAGG